RNAcentral lists this ribosomal RNA (408 nucleotides) under Campylobacter jejuni. RNAcentral's name for it is "partial 23S ribosomal RNA". It matches the Rfam family "Bacterial large subunit ribosomal RNA", at positions 1 to 428 of the family's 2925-position model. The record is from RNAcentral. Lineage: Bacteria; Pseudomonadati; Campylobacterota; Epsilonproteobacteria; Campylobacterales; Campylobacteraceae.
AAAGGUAAGCUACUAAGAGCGAAUGGUGGAUGCCUUGACUGGUAAAGGCGAUGAAGGACGUACUAGACUGCGAUAAGCUACGGGGAGCUGUCAAGAAGCUUUGAUCCGUAGAUUUCCGAAUGGGGCAACCCAAUGUAUAGAGAUAUACAUUACCUAUAUAGGAGCGAACGAGGGGAAUUGAAACAUCUUAGUACCCUCAGGAAAAGAAAUCAAUAGAGAUUGCGUCAGUAGCGGCGAGCGAAAGCGCAAGAGGGCAAACCCAGUGCUUGCACUGGGGGUUGUAGGACUGCAAUGUGCAAGAGCUGAGUUUAGCAGAACAUUCUGGAAAGUAUAGCCAUAGAGGGUGAUAGUCCCGUAUGCGAAAAACAAAGCUUAGCUAGCAGUAUCCUGAGUAGGGCGGGACACGAG